This 8091-nucleotide long non-coding RNA is filed under the name Phaseolus vulgaris (common bean). RNAcentral describes it as "long non-coding RNA (PVUL_LNC000423)". The record is from RNAcentral. Lineage: Eukaryota; Viridiplantae; Streptophyta; Magnoliopsida; Fabales; Fabaceae.
AAAUAGAAAACGAGUAAACAUUGAAGACGAAGCAGAAAUUGGAAAUUCCUAAGACACCAAUUCUCUUAUGCCUACAUUUUUUUAAGGUGCCAAUUCUCCACACUAUCUUUGAAUUAUUUCAAAUACAAUCUUAUUUAGUACAAAUAUGUUAAUAUGUAGUUGAUCAUUUUCAUCACGCAUCAACUCAUCUUCGUUUUAAUGUUCUGUUUUACUUGCGAGAAUUACAAUUAUCGAUAUUCACUUUUGAAGUUCAAUAGCGAUGCUUAUACAUAGUUAAAUAUUCACGUUAAAAUGAAAAUAUUUUUUAUUGAAUGAGUGACCUGCUCUUAGGAAGUCACUGAGAAUUCGUUGAACAACAGCUAUUCCUCCAGACAUUUACUGGUUAGUAAUUUUCAAUGUGCAGUAUGGGGGAUGAUUAUUGAGAACAUUUCACAUUUUAUAAAUCUUCACAUACUUCUUUGGCAUGAUCUAAAAUUUCUUAAUUAUUUUGGAGAUUUCAUGUUAUAUUAUGAGUCCUUAGAUACUUGUUAAUACUUAUUUUAUAUGACAGAGUUGGUACAUCACUAUGAAUUCUUUUCCUUAGUUCCUUAAUUCAUGUGCAGACAACAUUCCAAAAUGAGAGUUUGUUGAUCAGGUCUGGACUCCUCCUGACUGUGAAGAUCAAACCCUGUUUGCUUCAGAUUGGCAUGACUCAGGUUCUGGGGAUUGCAAGAACCAAGCCAUCACAGCUGAUACAACAAUGAGCCUUCUUGGUGACCAUUUUGCCACUGACCAUAACCAUGUGACUUCUGGAACUUCUCAGUCAAGUCAGGUGUGGUGUUUGGGUUCUUGUGCAGCGGCAGCUAAUAAUAUACAUGCUCUGUGUCAGCUAUCCGAUGUUUGUUAAGAACACUUCAUAGAUAUGUGAUUUGAACCUUGAUUAUUAGUAGAUCUGUGUUGAUUCCUUUAACAAGAUUGUCCAAUGUCAAUAUUUGCUUGGCUGAAGAAGAUUUUAUGGGUGUGAUUUAUAGUACCAACAAAAGGGUCAGACUAUUGCUUUUUGGAUGUUGCAUGUAUUGUAUACCAUCAUGAAUCUUGUGGACACAAAUGCUUUUGCAGACUCUGAUUAAAUUGAUUGACUGCAUUGCAGUUGAAACAUUGGAAUUCAUGUAGCUGGAUGGGUUAAGAAUGUCUUAAAUUUCUUUGCUUAUGUUUUUUGUUUGAACUGAUAAUUUAUCAUUUAUCUGUAUUAUUAGGCCAAAAAGUAUUGAUCUCUCUGAAAACUACUAUUUGUGUCUAUCAUAAUAUUAGUAUCCUUUUGUCUAUUCUAAAUCAAUAUAAAACAACUAUCAUAUAUAGAAUGAAUAUGUACGUUUUAUUAUUAUUUAUUAGACUUGAAAGAUUAUCCAUAUUUGGCUGGAUCAUAAAACCGUUUUGGCACAAAAACAGGCCAGGAAACAUUGUGCAUGUGAAGUGAGCUCUUUUAUUGAACGUAAACGAAACAACAUACUAUAUUUUCUUUUCAUCAUUAUAGAUCUUAAAAUCUUUCAAAAUUUUGCUCCAAUUAACUUGCAAUUGAACUCUUUCAAAAAAACUUUUUAUAUAGUGUUCAUGUUUGCUGAUGACCAGGACACCAAAUGUUUAGUCCAUGGAAAAGAUACAAGACAACCUUAAUCUGACUGGGGGAUAACCAGCGUCUCACCAGAACCUUUGAAAGCAGGUGGUGCAUGAGAUGCAGAGUAGCUAGUUGCUAGCCUGGAAGAUGGUUAUUCCAAUGUGCUUUAGACAUUAGUUUGAGUGCAAACAUAUGAACAGAUAUUUAUUAUUUUCUGUAUUAUAAAGAAUUAAUGUAGGAAAUGUUUUUUAACAAGAUUAUGGACAUUGAUUGCACUUGAACUAACCGAAUUAUCUAUUCUAGAGGUUAAUGAUGCAAGUUUUUACCAUUGAUUCUGUUCUUCACAAGCCCAAUAAGCUUUGGAAUGUUGAGCAGAGUUGAGAACAAUAUAUAAAUGAUAUGUUACAUGAGAUUACUAUUCAUGUGCACCAUACUUGUGCUGUAGAUAUAGUGUGGAAGGUCUGUAAUUUUCACAUACCAUUGUCAACUGCUGCAAUUUUAUUUUGUUAUAAUAUUGUUUGUUGCUUCUGCUUUUCAUGGUUACAGUUCAAAGCAACAAUGCUUGUGCUGUGAAUGAAGUUUCUGUUCAGGAAGAGUACCAUGACAGACUCUAGAAGCAUGACUACUUGAUGAGAUGGUUAAAAUACUUUCAUUUAAUUAACAUCAUUGCUUUCUUCAAUUGAAUGAAAUAUCAAGCAACUUUGAUGCAUUUAGUCAAAGUUUGUGGCUAUUUAAUUAGUUUGAUUUAUAAAUAAAUCCAUGGAACCUAUUAUCUCAUUCUGUUUUCUUUUUCACUGGGAUUCAUUUCAUGGGGAUAUGAUUCUAUGUAACUAUCUUCUCUGCACGGUCAAUGUCAGUGACCUUAACAUUGAACGAGCAGUAUAUGUGAUCUUGAAAUCCUUACCAAAAUAAAACAUAGUGACUGAUCUUAGUUGAAUAGGGAAGAAGAAGAAGUUAUUUUGUCACACACAACACUUAGAAGGAACUGAACGGACGUAUGUGAGUAUUAUAAUGAAGAAUAUUAUCUGAACUGAUAUAUUUAAAUACGAUUGCAUUGAAUCAGUGUAUAGGAAUGUCAAAAAGAAAAUGAAAAAGGAAUUCUUACAAAAAUAUAGCAAUAUCAAACAACCAAAAAAAAGAAAGAAUUACUAUGUCUGCAAAUUGUUAAAAAAGAAUGUAAGUUGAAGGACCCUCGUGUUUUUUAUUUUGUUAAGUUAGCCGCCAAAAUUGACUCAAUGCAUUAAAGUUCCUAGAAAUUUCAUUAAAGUACAUAAAGCAAUAAAAAGAAAAUUAAUUGUCUGAAUCCAAGUUGUGGUGUCGGUAAUAAUCAACAUCUAUUGAUUGACAUGUUUAACCAAAUCAUCACUUAAUUAUUUGUUAAAUUUUAACUCUUCUCUAUCUGCCUUCACGCUUGACCCUUCAUUCACAUAACUAAGCUCUGCUUCUAAUUUUCAGUUAUUUCUUUACUUUGAUUAGAUUACUUCCUUUCCAACCAUGCCAGUGAUAGAAACACUUGGUGGUGCCCUUUUCGGUGCUGUUCUUCAGGUGCUGUUUGACAAGCUUGAUUCUCGUCAAGUUCUGGACUACUUUCGUGGAAGAAAGCUCGAUGAGAAGCUGCUGAAGAAGUUGAAGAGGAAGCUGGUGUCCGUUAAUGCUGUGGUUGAUGAUGCAGAACAGAAGCAGUUCAGAAAUGCGUAUGUGAAGGCAUGGCUUGAUGAGGUCAGAGAUGUGUUGCUUGAUACAGAGGAUCUGAUGGAGGAAAUAGAGUAUGAAUUCUCCAGAUAUGAGUUGGAAGUUCAAUUCCACAGCAGUUCUAGCAAGGUAUGCAGUUUUGAAUCCAGGAUUGUAGAAGUCCUUGAUGACCUAGAAUCUCUUCUAAGCCAAAAGGAUGAUCUAGGUUUGAAAAAUGCUAGCGGAGUAGGGGUUGGGUUAGGGUUGAGUAGUAAUGUCUUACAUAAAUUGCCAUCUGGUGGUUGAAAAUAUUAUUUAUGGAAGAGAUGAUGAAAAAGAAAUGAUCCUUAAAUGGAUGACUUCUGAUGACACUGAAGAGCAUAGCCAACUAUCAAUACUUUCUGUUGUGGGUAUGGGUGGGAUGGGUAAGACCACACUUGCUCAACAUGUGUACAAUGACCCAAUGAUAGAGGAUAAAUUUGCUAUCAAAGGUUGGCUUUGUGUUUCGGAUGAAUUUGAUGUUUUUAUGGUAACAAAAGCAAUUGUUGGGGCAAUCACUAAAUCAAAAGAUGAUAGUGUAGACCUAGAAAUGGUUCAAGGACGAUUGAAAGAAACGUUGGCAGGAAGGAAGUUUCUCCUCGUUCUGGAUGAUGUCUGGAACGAACACUGAGACCAGUGGAAAUUAUUGCAAACUCCUCUUAAAUAUGGGGUUAAGGGAAGUAAAAUUCUCAUCACAACACGCAGUAACAAAGUUGCUUCUAUCAUGGAGUCAAACAAUAUUCACCAACUAAAGCAAUUACAUAAAGAUAACAGCUGGCAAGUUUUUGCUAAACAUGCAUUCCAAAAUGAUAACUCUAAGUCGAGUUUUGUGUUGAAGGAGAUUGGCAUGAAGAUAGCUGAAAAGUGCCAAGGACUGCCUCUAGCCCUUGAAACAGUAGGAUCUCUUUUACAGUCAAAGUCAUCUGUUUCAGAGUGGGAAAGUGUACUGAGAAGCAACAUAUGGGACUUACGAAUUGAAGAUAGUAAAAUCAUCCCCGCUUUGUUGUUGAGCUAUUACCAUCUUCCUUCUAAUCUCAAGAGAUGUUUCGCUUAUUGUGCUUUAUUCCCCAAAGACCAUAAGUUUGAGAAGGAGAGCUUAAUUCUCUCAUGGAUGGCUCAGAAUUUCCUACAAUGUUCUCACGAGAGGGAGUCUCCAGAAGAAAUAGGUGAACAAUACUUCAAUGAUCUAUUAUCAAGGUCAUUCUUUCAGCAAUCAAUUUGGUACAACGAAACAUGUUUUCUGAUGCACGACCUUCUGAAUGAUUUAGCAAAAUAUGUUUCUAGUGAAAUGUGCUACAGUUUAGGUGUUGAUAGACCAAGAAGCGUACCAAAGACAACUCGUCACUUUUCAAUUUUAAAUAAGGAUCCCGUUGAAUGUGAUGAGUACAGGAGUUUAUGUGAUGCUAAAAGGCUACGGACAUUUUUGUCCAUGUCUACGAAUUUUGGGAUGUCAAUACAAGAGUUGAUCUCCAACUUUAAGUUCUUACGACUCUUAUCUUUGUCGAGCUGCCUUAAUAUAAAAGAGGUGCUUGACACUAUAGCCGAUCUCAUACAUCUCCGUUCAUUAGACCUUUCUGGUAUCCUUAUAGAGAGACUUCCCAACUCAGCGUGUUCACUUUGUAACUUGCAAGUGUUGAAGCUGAACAAAUGUGAGUUUUUGAAGGAGCUGCCCUCGACUUUGAUUGAGCUCACUAAGUUGCGCCGCAUUGAACUUAUGGGAACUACAUUAAUAAAGGCUCCAGUGCUUUUAGGAAACUUGAAGAGUCUUCAAGUAUGGUUGAGUGUGUUUGAGGUUGGAAAAAGUAGUAGUGAGUUCAGAUUUCAACAACUAGGAUAACUUGAUCUUCAUGGACAUAUGUUAAUUAGAAAUCUUGAAAAUAUUGUGAAUCCCUGUGAUGCAUUGGCAGCGAAUUUGAAGAAUAAAACACAUCUUGUGGGGCUAGAUUUACAAUGGGAUUGGAUGCGGAACAAUGAGGAUUCAAUAAAAGAAAGAGAAGUACUAGCGAAUCUGCAACCUUCUAGAUAUUUGGAGCAGUUGUCAAUCUAUCACUAUGGUGGCACACAAUUUCCACGUUGGUUAUCUGAUAAAUUUCUAUUGCAUGUGGUGUCCCUAAACUUGUAUAACUGUAAAUAUUGCCAAUGGUUGCCUUCCCUUGGACUUUUGGCAUCUCUCAAGCAAUUGACAAUUGAGGGCCUUGAUGAGAUAGUGAGGAUAGAUGCUGAUUUUUACGGGAAUAACUCUUCUGCAUUUGCAUCCUUGGAAACGUUGACCUUUCAUGAUAUGAAUGGAUGGGAAGAAUGGCAAUGCAUGACGGGUGCUUUUCCAAGUCUUUAACAACUUUCCGUGUUGGCUUGUCCUAAACUGAAAGGGCACUUGCCAGAGCAUCUUCCUCAUUUAAAAGAGCUAACUGUUUUUGACUGCAAACAACUUGUGGCUUCGACUCCCAAGGCGGUAGAAAUUGAAGGUGUGAAGAAAGAGACAUCUUCAUUUGAUAUGUUGUUGCACCAUAUUGAAUCCUUGAGUAUUCAUAUUUGUCCGGGCAUGAAUAUUCUCAUAAACCAUUGUUACCAUUUCCUUGUAGAAUUGGAUAUCAAUGAAUGUUGUGACUCUCUGACGAACUUCCCUCUAGACUUAUUCCCAAAUCUGUGCGGGCUUAAAUUAGGCAAUUGUGGUAACCUACGGAUGAUAUCACAGGGGCACCCUCAUCGUCAUUUGAAGAAUCUGUCGAUUCAACAUUGCUCUGAAUUUGAAUCAUUUCCCAAUGAAGGGUUAUUUGCACUUCAGCUAGAGAGCUUUUAUAUUAAAGGAUUGGAGAAAUUGAAAUCAAUGCCUAAACACAUAUCUGCCCUCCUUCCAUCUCUUCAUUUUCUGAAUAUAAUGGAUUGUCCAGGAGUGGAGUUGUCCGAGGGAUGUUUGCCAUCAAAUCUAAAACACAUCUCUCUCUGGAAUUGCUCCAAACUUGUUGCCUCACUAAAGAAGGGGGUUUGGAGAACCAACCCUUCCAUAGAAUCCUUGUCUUUUAAAGAAGAGGAUGUGGAGUGUUUUCCGGAUGAAGGUUUGCUCCCACUCUCUCCUACUAAUCUAGAGAUACGUGAUUGUCCAAAACUUAAAAAACUGGAUUACAAGGGUCUGUCACCUUUCCUCUCUUCAGAAAUUGGUUAUUCAGAAUUGUCCAAUACUGGAAUGCUUGCCAGAGGAGGGUCUUCCAAAAUCCAUUUCACAACUCACAAUUAUAGACUGUCCGUUGCUCAAACAGCGGGGCAAGAAAGAAGAAGGCGAAGACUGGAAAAAGAUUCCUAUAUGGAUUACUAAUGGAAAACGAGUAAACAUUGAAGAUGAACCAGAAAUUGGAAAUACCUAAGACACCAAUUCUCAUAUGCCUACAUUUUCAUCAGGUGCAAAUUCUCCCACACUAUCUUUUAAGCAUCUCAAAUACAAUCUUAUUUAGUUCAAAUAAUUUAAUAUCUAAUUGAUCAUUUUCAUCACAAAUGUUCUGUUUUACGUGCAAGAAUUACAAUUAUCGAUAUUCACUUUUGAAAUUGAAUAGCGAUGCUUAUAUUUAGUUGAAUAUUCACGUGAAAAUCAAAAUAAUCUUAGAAAGCCAGUGAGAAAUCAUUGAACGAACUACUAUCCUUCCAGACAUUUAUAGGUUAGUAAUUUUCAAUGUGCUGUAUGGGGGAAGAUUACUAAGAGAACAUUUCACAUCUUUAUAAAUUAUCACAUACUUCUUUGGCAUAAUCUGAAAUUUCUUAAUUAUUUUGAGAUUUCAUGUUUAUAUUACGAGUCUUUAGAUACUUGUUAAUACUUAUUUUAUAUGAUAGAGUUGGUACAUCGCUAUGAAUUCAUUUAUCAGUUUUAAUGAAAAGGCAUAGGUUAGGUUUCAUCCUCAAUUCCUUAAUUCAUGUGCAGGAAACAUUCCAAAAUUAGAGUUUGUUGAUUAGAUUUGGACUCCUGACAGUGAAAAUCAAACCUUGUCCCUCUUGAAUAUCACUCGUCCAGACUCUUGUUUGCUUCAGAUUGGCAUGACUUAGGUUCUGGGGAUGGCAACAACUGAUACAACAAUGACCCUUCUUGGAGACCAUUUUGCCAUUGACCAUAACCAUGUGACUUCUGGAACUUCUCAGUCAAGUCAGUUGUGGGGUUUUGAUUCUUGUGCAACGGCAGCUAUUAAUAUACAGGCUUUGUGUCAGCUAUUCGAUCUUGUUUAAGAACCUGUAAUCUGACUCAGGGAUAGCCAACGUCUCACCAGAACCUUUGAAAGCCGGUGGUGGAUGAGAUGCAGAGUACCUAGUGGCUAGCCUGGAAGAUGGUUAUUCCAAUGUGCUUUAGACAUUAGUUUGAGUGCAAACAUAUGAACCGAUAUUUAUUAUUUUCUGUACUAUAAAGAAUGUAGGAAAUGUUUUUUGACAAGAUUAUGAACAUUGAUUGCACUUGAACUAACUGAAUUAUCUAUUCUGGAGGUUCAUGAUGCAAUUUUUUACCAUUGAUUAUGUUCAUCACAAGCUCAAUAAGCUUAGGAAUGUUAAGCAGAGUUGAGAACAAUAUAUAAAUGAUGUUAUAUGAGAUUACUAUUCAUCUUGUGCAGUAGAUAUAGUGUUGAACGUGUGUAAUUUUCACAUACCAUUGUCAACUGCUGCAAUUUUAUUUUGUUAUAUUAUUGUUUGUUGCUUCUGCUGCACAUGGUUACAGUUCAAAGCAACAAUGCUUCUGCUGUGCAUGAAUUUUAUGUUGAGGAAUAGUAUAUGACAUACUCUGGAAGCAUGACUACUUGAUGAGAUGGUUAAAA